This 1164-nucleotide ribosomal RNA is filed under the name uncultured fungus. RNAcentral describes it as "eukaryotic LSU rRNA". The stretch from base 513 to 1164 matches the Rfam family "Eukaryotic large subunit ribosomal RNA", at positions 1 to 667 of the family's 3401-position model. The record is from RNAcentral. Lineage: Eukaryota; Fungi.
AAGUCGUAACAAGGUUUCCGUAGGUGAACCUGCGGAAGGAUCAUUAAAGAAUCGCCCCGUUUUUUGAAACGGGUUCUAUUCCCAAACCGUGUAUACAUACCUCUGUUGCUUUGGCAGGCCGCCUUCGGGCGUCGGCUCCGGCUGACUGUGCCUGCCAGAGGACCCAAACUCUUUUGUUUAGUGAUGUCUGAGUACUAUAUAAUAGUCAAAACUUUCAACAACGGAUCUCUUGGUUCUGGCAUCGAUGAAGAACGCAGCGAAAUGCGAUAAGUAAUGUGAAUUGCAGAAUUCAGUGAAUCAUCGAAUCUUUGAACGCACAUUGCGCCCCUUGGUAUUCUGAGGGGCAUGCCUGUUCGAGCGUCAUUAUAACCACUCAAGCCUGGCUUGGUAUUGGGGCUCGCGGUUCCGCGGCCCUUAAAAUCAGUGGCGGUGCCGUCUGGCUCUAAGCGUAGUAAUUCUCUCGCUAUAGGGUCCUGGCGGUAGCUUGCCAAAAUCCCCCUAUUUUUUACGGUUGACCUCGGAUCAGGUAGGGAUACCCGCUGAACUUAAGCAUAUCAAUAAGCGGAGGAAAAGAAACCAACAGGGAUUGCCUCAGUAACGGCGAGUGAAGCGGCAACAGCUCAAAUUUGAAAUCUGGCUCUUUCAGGGUCCGAGUUGUAAUUUGUAGAAGGUGCUUUGGGUGUAGCUCCGGUCUAAGUUCCUUGGAACAGGACGUCAUAGAGGGUGAGAAUCCCGUACGUGACUGGGUGCUUUCGCUCGUGUAAAGCUCUUUCGACGAGUCGAGUUGUUUGGGAAUGCAGCUCAAAAUGGGUGGUAAAUUUCAUCUAAAGCUAAAUAUUGGCCAGAGACCGAUAGCGCACAAGUAGAGUGAUCGAAAGAUGAAAAGCACUUUGGAAAGAGAGUUAAACAGUACGUGAAAUUGUUGAAAGGGAAGCGCUUGCAACCAGACUUGCGCGCUGUUGAUCAUCCGAGGUUUUCCCCGGUGCACUCGGCAGCGUUCAGGCCAGCAUCGGUUUUGGUGGGCGGAUAAAGGCCUUGGGAAUGUGGCUUCCUUCGGGAAGUGUUAUAGCCCCCGGUGCAAUGCGCCCUACCGGGACCGAGGACCGCGCUUCGGCUAGGAUGCUGGCGUAAUGGUUGUAAGCGACCCGUCUUGAAACACGGACC